RNAcentral lists this small nuclear RNA (21 nucleotides) under Arabidopsis thaliana (thale cress). RNAcentral describes it as "snRNA_03135". Lineage: Eukaryota; Viridiplantae; Streptophyta; Magnoliopsida; Brassicales; Brassicaceae. The record is from RNAcentral.
GUAUAGAAACGUUCUCCAGUA